UACCGCGAAACUGCGAAUGGCUCAUUAAAUCAGUUAUCGUUUAUUUGAUAGUACCUUACUACAUGGAUAACCGUGGUAAUUCUAGAGCUAAUACAUGCUAAAAAUCCCGACUUCGGAAGGGAUGUAUUUAUUAGAUUAAAAACCAAUGCCCUUCGGGGCUCUCUGGUGAUUCAUAAUAACUUCUCGAAUCGCACGGCCUUGCGCCGGCGAUGGUUCAUUCAAAUUUCUGCCCUAUCAACUUUCGACGGCUGGGUCUUGGCCAGCCGUGGUGACAACGGGUAACGGAGGGUUAGGGCUCGACCCCGGAGAAGGAGCCUGAGAAACGGCUACUACAUCCAAGGAAGGCAGCAGGCGCGCAAAUUACCCAAUCCCGACACGGGGAGGUAGUGACAAUAAAUACUGAUACAGGGCUCUUUCGGGUCUUGUAAUUGGAAUGAGUACAAUUUAAAUCCCUUAACGAGGAACAAUUGGAGGGCAAGUCUGGUGCCAGCAGCCGCGGUAAUUCCAGCUCCAAUAGCGUAUAUUAAAGUUGUUGAGGUUAAAAAGCUCGUAGUUGAACCUUGGGCCUAGCCGGCCGGUCCGCCUCACCGCGUGCACUGGCUCGGCUGGGUCUUUCCUUCUGGAGAACCGCAUGCCCUUCACUGGGUGUGCUGGGGAACCACGACUUUUACUCUGAAUAAAUUAGAUCGCUUAAAGAACGCCUAUGCUCGAAUACAUUAGCAUGGAAUAAUAGAAUAUGACGUGUGGUUCUAUUUUGUUGGUUUCU
This 766-nucleotide ribosomal RNA is filed under the name uncultured eukaryote. RNAcentral describes it as "SSU rRNA". It matches the Rfam family "Eukaryotic small subunit ribosomal RNA", at positions 77 to 852 of the family's 1831-position model. The record is from RNAcentral.